This is a long non-coding RNA of Psammomys obesus (fat sand rat), 1396 nucleotides long. RefSeq lists it as uncharacterized. NCBI's taxonomy places the organism in Eukaryota, Metazoa, Chordata, Mammalia, Rodentia, Muridae. The record is from RefSeq and is a predicted model, not a curated record. The transcript has 2 exons.
AGCUAAGUCUCUGGGGGGCCCUGUGCUCCCGUGUGCCACACUCCCGCGAGGUGUGUGCAAGGAUGCGUGCUGUUGCUGCUUCAGGUACCCUGGGUUCUGUCCCCCCGGGCUGCAAGUCGGCUCCUGUGUAGCAGCAGGAAGCCUUCCUGUAGGGGCAGACCUCGGUGGGAUUCGAACCCGUCGACCGCUCACCUGAAGAACGGCCAGCUGGGGAAGGGUUAACCUUGCCUUACCCUGGCCUCCACCUCCAGAGAAGCUUGUCUGCGAUAGGGUCACGGGAGUCUAGCUUCAAGGUCUGAGGCAGCUUUUUAUUGCCGCCUGGAAAGAGAACAAGCAUCCGGCGGGCUGAGAAAGCAGAACCAAGAACGGAAGGGGGCUUCUCUUGGCCAAGCCCUUCCCGGGCCGUGGUUGAGCUAGAGCUCCCUGGCUGUGUUCACCCUGCUGGCCGGACUCUCCUGCUUUGGGGGAGCCACGCUGGUGUUCCCAAAGCUCAGGCUGGUGACUUAGCGUUAGUCACUCCAUUCUGGGAUGGUCCAGCGCCGCAGCCUGCCUCCCGUAGACCGCCGCCAGGUCUAAGCUGAGCACAGCUUGCUGGCAGGGCCUCUCCCAGCAGCUUUCUGCCCACCGAGGCAGGUAGACUUGUGAUCAGCCGAGCUCCAACCUGGCUGGGAAGGCAGGAUCUGGGAACCCUCGCCUUACCUGGCAUAUUUUACACACACAGACACACUUUUGCACCGCCUUCAGCGGGUGAUAUAUGCCAAUCUAACAGCUCAGUUUCCUGCUGUUUAAAAAGAAAUCACCUAAAAAAGCCUGGCGCGCUACCCCGGCCCCACCGGCACAGCGUCACUCACUGCCCAUGCGCCGUGACUGCGUGUUACUCUCCCAGCGGGCACCCUGCCUCCCGAGUCUUGCACCUGCACCUGCACCCAUACUGGAGUCUGGAACAGCUGAGGUCCUAGCCAGGAGCCCUGCCCAAGACACUGCGACUCACCUCACUUCAAAGCAAGGCCUGGCCUUCUGAACGGCAGCCACCAUAGCCUGACAGCGUGGCCCUGCCAUGCAGCCCGCACUGACGAAGGCGGAAAUGGGCCCACGUACCCGCUUGUCAUGGCCCAGUGUGUCCCAGGCCUUUGGAGACCUCAGGAAACCCCCGGCAGCUUCCUGAGGCUUUGAUGUGCCUCAUAACAAAUGCCCGUGGGCCCCACAUUCGGGUUCAAAGUUGAGCGGUCCUUUUUAAUUGGAGCAAAAGCCUCUUUGCAGAGGAAGUCGGCAGGAACCACACCACAGGGUCUUUGAGCACAGCCAACAGCCGUGGAGCUGCAGACAGGCACACUGGCGAUGCUGGCCCCACAGCGAGCGUGCAGAUGUGUCUAUAAAGCAGGAAUUCCGCUUGUGA